AUUGUCAUACAUACGUAAAUCUAUGUAAUUAUUGAGCAAGAAAUUUCCUCCAGAAAUACCGUGUUGCGAUAUAAGUAGUAAUAUGUCAUGGUAUGCAUUUAUUGAUGACGUGAUGGUUCGGAGAUGUAAUUUCUAUUAAAGAUGGUCCAAAAAAGUGGAAUUCUUAGUGAGGCGGUGCAAUAGCAAACAACUAUUUAAAAAAAUUAGACGGCAAAAUUUUUGCAUCACCGCUCUUGGUACCAUUUUUUACUGGAAGAUUUCAUCUAUGACUUCAGUUAUCAGAAUUCUCGCCUAUGGUGAAGACAAUUGCCCAGCCUGCACCGACCGAGUUAAACACGUGUUAUAUUGGUGUCCCCGGUGUAAAUCCCGUGUUGGGUGCAUUAUUCGUAUAAAUAUUUUUUUAAACACGAAAUUAAUUCGUGAAAAAAGACCGAAUUUUACACCGCAUCUUCAAAACGAAUUUUCUCGAUUAAAACACGUGAAAUACUCGAGUAUGCUAAUAACCCGAGACUCGUGUCAUAAUCGCGAGAAAUACACGAACUUUACCAGUGUUUUUGCACAUGCGAAACUAAACACUGUCCCUUUGUUAUUGAGGUGGGAGAAUUAUUUUGUUGCAUGUCUCACAUAAUAAAACCAAAAAGUAUGGACAAGACACGAUCUAGAAAAUUAUUUCGCAAAGCAAGACAAGGAACGUCGGAUUUUUCCUUACUUUCUGAAAGUGGUGAUCGAAAAAAUCAGACAACGCCAAAGCCACACCCAAAAACUUCUCAUCCUGAGGCCGCAACUCCGCAGUUCGAUUCGAUUUCUGGGGCAGAUGACCUGUACUCUUCGGACUACUCUGAUAGUCAUAUCUUCACAGAGUCAGAUUCUAGUGAUAGUGAUUGUGAUAAGACUGAUACCAGCAGUUGUACAAGUGAUUUAAGAACAUGGGCAGUUAAACAUAAUAUUACUUUCUCUGCUUUGAGUGAUCUGCUGGAUAUUUUAAAACGACGUCCUGGCUUCGAUUUACCAAGCGAUCCAAGGACACUAUUACGUACGCCAAGAACUUGUGCUAUUGAAAAGGUUGAACCGGGCGAGUAUGUACAUUUUGAGUGGAUUUCAUUAAUAGAAAAAUUACUUAAAGGUGCACAGUGUACAACCAACAUUCAAAUUAAUAUUGACGGAAUUCCUCUCUAUAAAAGCAGUGCCAGACAAUUUUGGCCAAUUUUAGCGAAUAUUGUAGAAUUUAAUGAAGUUAUUGUAAUAGGCAUUUAUUCUGGUCUGGGAAAGCCCGCAAAUAUUAACGAUUUUUUGAGUAGAUUUGUCAACCAAUUCAUUAGAUUAGAACAGUCAUUAGUUUUGAAAUUUAAAAUAUCUGCAAUUGUGUGUGAUGUGCCUGCAAGAUCAUUUAUUUUAGGGACAAAGUGUCAUAGUGGUUACAGUUCUUGCGGAAAGUGCGACAUAAAAGGCGAAUAUUUGGAUAAUCGGGUAACAUUUCCUCCGGGAAAUUAUAAUUUAAGAAAUAACGAAUCUUUUCGAUCAAAAUUUGACCAGGCUCAUCAUAAUCAGGACUCUAUAAUAGAAUUACUUUCUAUAGAUUUAGUAGAAGAUGUGCCGGUUGAUUUUAUGCAUCUUGUAUGUUUAGGAGUGACGAGAAAGUUAUUGUUUUUAUGGUCGAAAGGAAAAAAGUGUACAGGGCGCUUGCGACCUCAUCAAAUUGACCAAUUAUCCAUUAAUUUGUUAAAUAUCAAGAAGUCAAUACCAAAGGAAUUUGCACGAAAACCGCGUCCAAUUAGGGAUGUAGAUCAUUGGAAGGCAACCGAAUUUAGGCAGUUUAUUUUAUACACUGGUCCUGUAGUGUUGAAAAAAAUUCUUCCUCUGCCAUUUUACCAACAUUUCUUAUGUUUUCACAUUGCAAUUGCAAUUCUUGCCAAUCCUAACACCUAUCUCAGCAAAAAUAAUUACGCAGGGGAACUAUUAGAAUAUUUUGUGAAUAACUUUGGUUCAUUGUAUGGAAAGAAAUAUUACAGUCAUAAUUUGCACAGUUUAUUGCAUUUAUCUCGAGAUUGCAGUCGACACGGUCCUCUUGACCGCUUUAGUGCGUUUCCAUUUGAGAAUAAACUACAACAAAUAAAGAGAUUGGUCAGAUCUCCAUCUUACCCCUUGCAACAAGUUUGCCGGCGGUUGAUGGAAAGAGAAGAAGUUGAGUUGGCUGACCACGUUGAAAAAUAUGAACAACUAAAAUUUUGCCAGGUUGAAACUAAUUCAAGUGAGAGAUCUGAGUGUUUUAGAGUGUGCAAAUUUACCAAUUUUGAACUAUCAGACAAACCAGGAAAUAAUAUUUGCAAGUUAAAAGACGGAAGUGUUAUAAAAAUCCACUAUUUUGUUCGAUCUUCUCCUCCAGAAAUAAUUGGGAAAAAGUUUAAAAGAAGCGAAGAUUUUUUUCACUCUCCGUGUCCAUCAUCUUUAAUUGGUGUGCAAAUUGUGAAAGAAUUGAGUAAUAUAAGAAGAUUUGACCUUAAUUUAGUUGAAACAAAGUGUGUACUUCUUCCACUGGAAACAGAAUUAAUGUGUUAUCCUCUAAUUCACAGUGCAAUCCAGUGACUUUUUACCAUGCGAUUUUCUAUAGUAAAUUUUAUUGAAACUAACGAGAUAGAGAUUAUCCCAAUAAAUUGGUUGUCACCAUCAAGAGAUAAAUGCUGGUGGCCGCCGUUUAAAUCUACCGAACGCCAAUUGAAGGCCGCUAUGGGUGGAGACAAUCCAAGUAAACAAUGGUUAUCAUUCGACGUGAAGGUUGUUGGAGGAGGUAAAAUAUUUGAAUCAUACCAACAAGCCAAGAGUCAGCUUGGCAAAGCCUUGGAUGAAACCGAACCGGAAUUUGAAAGUGAUUUCGAAGUGACAGGUCGUGGGCAACGUCACAAGAAAAGUCAGCGUCAGGAAGAGUCAAGCGAUUCGG
Molecule: RNA transcript, 2935 nt
Organism: Folsomia candida
Lineage: Eukaryota; Metazoa; Arthropoda; Collembola; Entomobryomorpha; Isotomidae
Exons: 2
Source: RefSeq, a predicted model, not a curated record